This 27-nucleotide non-coding RNA is filed under the name Cricetulus griseus (Chinese hamster). Lineage: Eukaryota; Metazoa; Chordata; Mammalia; Rodentia; Cricetidae. The record is from RNAcentral.
CAAAAAAUAAAAUGAACUGGAGAGGUG